Molecule: non-coding RNA, 87 nt
Organism: Xylariomycetidae sp. FL2044
Lineage: Eukaryota; Fungi; Ascomycota; Sordariomycetes
Source: the annotation of a GenBank genome assembly
GGGCAAUUGGCGAAGUGGUAUCGCGUCCGCUUUGCAAGAACCAUUCUAGACUGCGGAAGAUCCAGGGUUCAAUCCCCUGAUUGUCCA